AAUCAACCCCCACUCUGUCUCCGUUUUUAUUAAUUUAAUUAUUUCUUUGCCUCGCGGCACACGAAGCCUCACCCGAGCCCUGACAUCGCGGCGCCCGCGUCAGCGAACCACGGAACUUGGGCCCGAGACAAUGGCCCGUAAUUGAUGCCACAGAGGGAAAGAAAACAAACAAGAAAUUAGCGGGGGACGCUGCGCACAGAGCCAGACGCCCGCCUCCACGCCGUCGAGGACGAAAAAGAACGAAAAAAGUUAUUAAAGUUUGGAUCCCCCAAUUAAUUCGUCUCUGCUCCCCUAUUUUAAAUUAAACAUUGCAAAGCUGCUUUUGCGUGUUGCAUUUCCUUUGGUUGGUUGUUUUGGUGCUUUGGGGGGAGGGAAAUCUUUUUUUUCCCCUUAAUCUUAAUCACACAUAAAGCAAGGAACGAACUCGUGUGAAGCUAUUCCCGCGAGCUUCCCGCAGCGCACGCGGCGCGCACCGGGAAGCAGGGUUUGCGGGAUCGCCAGCUCGGCUCGGUUCUCGGCAGCACGCGGUGCCCGGAGGCCCGGACUUUCAAGCAGCCAAGAUUGUUGGAGACAGAUGCGGGCGGCUCCAAACGCGGGCAUAGUUGGAGAAACGAGUGUGCAAGUGCAUACGGACGCGUUCGUGUACCUAGGAGAGUGCGAGUUGGGGUGUUUGCGAGGACCACAGUUUGCGAGGUGGGAGGUGGGUGCGGGAUUUACACGUGCUCCUGUACACUUUCCCGGGGGUCUGGGGGAAGCGAGCCGCUCGCACCCCGGGAGCACGCAGAUCCAUCUUUGCCGAGAGAUCUCUUUAAAUAUUCAGUGAGAAAUAAUGGCAUUUGAAGCACCACCUAUGGAAACAUUAUUAUCUUCAUUCUUCAACAUCAGCCCCACUGAUAGCUUCGUUUGUCUUUUUAUCAAAAUCUACUGUAACCAACAGGACCUGAGGAGAGAGGGAAAGACAGGCGAAGAGGGUGUGUGAAUGUGUGUAUUAGACACCAACCGAGGGCAGAAAAGAGGAAAAGUAAGAGGGAUAAGAGAAAAAGUGAAGAAGGGGCGAAAAAGGAAAAAGGAGGAACGGAGAAGUUACACCAAGAAAAAAAGUCGGCAGGAGAAAAACAGAAACAUUCACCCGCACACCAAAGACUUAGAUUAAAAAAGACCAAAGAAGCUAAGAGAGAAAGAGCUAUUUGGG
Equus asinus (donkey) is the source of this 1192-nucleotide long non-coding RNA. Lineage: Eukaryota; Metazoa; Chordata; Mammalia; Perissodactyla; Equidae. The record is from Ensembl.